CAUGCCCCUAGAGGCAUCACAGGUGUGGCUGCUGUGUCACAUGUGCAUCAAUAGGUGGCAGAGAGGAGAGAGGCUAUGUCUGUACUCAUUGUUCUGAGCUAUGAACAUCUGAAUGAUUAAUACCCUAACAUU
Small nucleolar RNA from Acomys russatus (golden spiny mouse), 132 nucleotides. RefSeq annotates it as small nucleolar RNA SNORA17. The transcript has a single exon. Lineage: Eukaryota; Metazoa; Chordata; Mammalia; Rodentia; Muridae. The record is from RefSeq and is a predicted model, not a curated record.